This 212-nucleotide ribosomal RNA is filed under the name uncultured bacterium. Its description in RNAcentral is "partial 16S ribosomal RNA". It matches the Rfam family "Bacterial small subunit ribosomal RNA", at positions 1289 to 1500 of the family's 1533-position model. The record is from RNAcentral.
CAGUUCGGAUUGUAGUCUGCAACCCGACUACAUGAAGCUGGAAUCGCUAGUAAUCGCGGAUCAGAAUGCCGCGGUGAAUACGUUCCCGGGUCUUGUACACACCGCCCGUCACACCAUGGGAGUCGGAAAUGCCCGAAGUCUGUGACCCAACCUUAGGGAGGGAGCAGCCGAAGGCAGGUCGGAUGACUGGGGUGAAGUCGUAACAAGGUACC